Molecule: ribosomal RNA, 690 nt
Filed under: Rhizopogon vinicolor
Lineage: Eukaryota; Fungi; Basidiomycota; Agaricomycetes; Boletales; Rhizopogonaceae
Description: eukaryotic LSU rRNA
Rfam family: 5.8S ribosomal RNA (bases 237-391)
Source: RNAcentral
UGCGGAAGGAUCAUUAACGAAUAUAAAUCGGAAAGCUGUCGCUGGCCUCUCGGGGCAUGUGCACGCUGACCGUGUUUCAAAAAUUUCUCACCUGUGAACCUAAUGUAGGAUGCCUCUCCUCUGGGAGGGGGGACCUAUGUCUUCAUAUACAUCUUCGUGUAGAAAGUCUUAGAAUGUUUACUAUCAGAGAGUCGCGACUUCUAGGAGACGCGAAACUCUGAGAUAAAAGUUAUUACAACUUUCAGCAAUGGAUCUCUUGGCUCUCGCAUCGAUGAAGAACGCAGCGAAAAGCGAUAUGUAAUGUGAAUUGCAGAUCUACAGUGAAUCAUCGAAUCUUUGAACGCACCUUGCGCUCCUCGGUGUUCCGAGGAGCAUGCCUGUUUGAGUGUCAGUAAAUUCUCAACCCUUCUUGAUUGAGGGAGUUUGGAUAGUGGGGGUUGCUGGAGACUUUUAUUAGACUCGAGCUCUCCUGAAAUGCAUCGGCUUGCGGUCGACUUUCGACUUUGCGCGACAAGGCUUUCGGCGUGAUAAUGAUCGCCGUUCGCUGAAGCGCAUGACUGAAGGUUUCGCGCCUCUAAUACGUCGACUCUUAUUAUCUCUUCGGAGAGAAAAGGUCUUCUUUAUUGACUUUUGACCUCAAAUCAGGUAGGACUACCCGCUGAACUUAAGCAUAUCAAUAAGCGGAGGAAA